GAGACAGAGGGGGGGCAGUGUGUGAAUGAGAGCGAGCGAGCGAGAGCGCAAGAGAGGAGAGAGGACCAGAGCAUCUUUCUUGGAGCAUCCCUAUAGGGUACCAUCCCGGCGCCAUGAGUAAGCUCAGCUCCAAUGAGUCACCGUCCCCCAGUGAGAUUCCAGGCCAGGAAGAAAAAGACAAAGCGGGGAGUGCCAAGAAGGUGGUAGAAGCAGAAGAGGAGGAAGUAGACAUUGACCUGAAUGCGCCCGAGACGGAGAAGGCCGCCCUCGCCAUCCAAGGGAAGUUCCGGCGCUUCCAGAAACGGAAAAAGGACCCCAGUCCCUGAACAGCAGCAGCUGCAGCGGGCACCAAACCCACCUCUCCCGUCUCCCAUGCCACCCCCCACCCCUCCGCCACGAGACACAGCCUGCCUUACCCUAACGUCCCCUUAUCCUACCCAUAUUAGCGGGUCUCAUUUCCCUAUUACCAAGCCCUGAGCUAAACCUACAGCCCAGUGACAAGGGCCCCGCAAUCCUACCGACGGGAAAGUAAUGUCCUUCACGAGAUCCACGCACCCUCUGCUCCAGGGCCAGCCUGCUGUUGGGCCAGAAACCGCUCCAAAGAUGGCCGCCACAUAACUCUCGAGCACUGGCAAGCCGCUCCACCACCCCUACUCCGGUUGCGGAAAACCUCCAACGGGCCCCUCUGCAAAUGGCAAUCGGCGUCACCACGGGGCACUGACAGAAGCUGCUUUGUGGACUGACUUUUAGCAUGUUAAUAAAAUAAUCAGGGGGGAAAUG
RNA transcript from Lacerta agilis (Sand lizard), 780 nucleotides. It is a transcript of the gene named Purkinje cell protein 4 like 1, with no coding region annotated. The record is from RefSeq and is a predicted model, not a curated record. NCBI's taxonomy places the organism in Eukaryota, Metazoa, Chordata, Lepidosauria, Squamata, Lacertidae. The transcript is spliced from 4 exons.